AAAGCUUUUGCGGUUUGGGAUGGGCCUGCGUCCUAUCAGGUAGUUGGUGAGGUAAAUGCUCACCAAGCCUAUGACGGGUAGCUGGUCUGAGAGGAUGGUCAGCCAGACUGGGACUGCGACACGGCCCAGACUCCUACGGGAGGCAGCAACUAGGAAUUGUGCGCAAUGGACGAAAGUCUGACGCCGCGACAUCGCGUGGAGGAUGAAGGUCUUCGGAUUGUAAACUCCUUUUCUUACCGAACAAGUUCUGAGUGUAGGUAAGGAAUAAGUGCCUGCUAACCACGUGCCAGAAGCAUCGGUAAUACGUGGGGCACGAGCGUUAUCCGGAUUUACUGGGCGUAAAGAGAAGCGUAGGCGGCUCGAUAAGUUUGGUGUUAAAUCUUCCGGCUCAACCGGAAACAAGCACCGAAAACUAUCGAGAUUGAGUCGAGUAGGGAAGAGGGGAAUUCCUGGUGGAGCGGUUAAAUGCGUAGAUAUCAGGAGGAAUACCAAGGGCGAAGGCACCUCUUUGGACUCGUACUGACGCUGAGGCUCGAAAGCGUGGGUAGCAAAACGGAUUAGAUACCCGUGUAGUCCACGCCGUAAACGAUCCCUGUUAGAUGUAUGUCU
RNAcentral lists this ribosomal RNA (609 nucleotides) under uncultured organism. RNAcentral describes it as "bacterial SSU rRNA". It matches the Rfam family "Bacterial small subunit ribosomal RNA", at positions 202 to 829 of the family's 1533-position model. The record is from RNAcentral.